UACGUAGGGGGCAAGCGUUGUCCGGAUUUAUUGGGCGUAAAGAGCGUGUAGGCGGCCUGACAGGUCUGCUGUGAAAACUCGAGGCUCAACCUCGAGAUGUCGGCGGAAACCGUCUGGCUAGAGUCCGGAAGAGGAGAGUGGAAUUCCUGGUGUAGCGGUGAAAUGCGCAGAAAUCAGGAAGAACACCUAUGGCGAAGGCAGCUCUCUGGGACGGUACUGACGCUGAGACGCGAAAGCGUGGGGAGCGAACAGG
RNAcentral lists this ribosomal RNA (253 nucleotides) under uncultured bacterium. RNAcentral's name for it is "partial 16S ribosomal RNA". It matches the Rfam family "Bacterial small subunit ribosomal RNA", at positions 524 to 776 of the family's 1533-position model. The record is from RNAcentral.